UAAGUAAGACUUAAACCAACUCCCCAUUCU
Molecule: non-coding RNA, 30 nt
Filed under: Rattus norvegicus (Norway rat)
Lineage: Eukaryota; Metazoa; Chordata; Mammalia; Rodentia; Muridae
Source: RNAcentral